Molecule: microRNA precursor, 58 nt
Filed under: Microcaecilia unicolor
Lineage: Eukaryota; Metazoa; Chordata; Amphibia; Gymnophiona; Siphonopidae
Description: Mun-Mir-204-P1_pre stem-loop
Rfam family: mir-204 microRNA precursor family
Source: RNAcentral
UUCCCUUUGUCAUCCUAUGCCUGGAGAUCAAAGUGAGGCAAGGAGAACAAAGGGAUGU